This is a long non-coding RNA of Gossypium raimondii (Peruvian cotton), 1818 nucleotides long. RefSeq lists it as uncharacterized. Lineage: Eukaryota; Viridiplantae; Streptophyta; Magnoliopsida; Malvales; Malvaceae. The transcript has 3 exons. The record is from RefSeq and is a predicted model, not a curated record.
AGGCAGUAAAUGUGAUCCAUCAUAAUGAGCAUAGGUAUUUUGAUUGAAAGAGAAUCUAUUUGCUAAUAGAGGUAGCUUUGAAAAACCAUGUGAAAUAGAACUUGUAGGGUCUUUUUUUUAUCUAGAUAAAAUAAAAAUAAAAAAUAAAUACUAAAAUAGUAUGUCGUCCCCAUUAUCUACGGAAAUGGUAUAUUGUGGGUAGUGGAGGGUGGUGGAGAGGCGGCACCGCUCUCUUUUUUUCAGCCCAAUCAUUAGCCUGCUAGUAAAAAAAAUCAUGGGUUAAAGGUCUGGGAUAAGCAAAACUGAUUUAUGCGAGUAUGAAAUACAAAUACUUGUAUUUUGGGGUUUGUAUGGUGCGUCAGCAGUAUUGAUUACCUUUUCUUCUUUUUCUAUCUUCUUUAAAAAAUUAAACCUUAAAAAACUAAGCUACUGUUAACUCUUUUUUCUAGUAUUUCUUUUCCCUUCUCUUUUCUAUCUUCUUUACUAAGUUAAGCCCUCUUCUUUCUAUUCUAGCUUCCCGUAUCUUUUUUUUUUUUACCGUGUAACAACCCGUUUUUUAGUGGUGACGGAAUAGUAGUUUUGGGAUCACAAAUUUUUAUUGUUUCGGCCUGUAAAUAUUAUUUAUGAAAUAUUUACGAAUUUAUUAGAGUCGUAUUAAUAUUUGGUUAAUAAAUUUUAAUGUUUAGAUAACUAAUUAAAAAAAAUUAAUUUGUAAAAUGUGCAAAACUUCUUUUUUUUUUUGAAUAAUCGACUGGGCUAUUAUUGAAAACUUGCAAUAUAAAAGUUCAGGAACAAAAUCCCAGCAGUGCUGGGCUGGAAACAAAAAAAUAAAAAUAAAAAUAAAACGUAGGCUACAAGCCCAAAUAAGUAAAAACAGAAAGUAAAGUCUAAAAAAUAUAAAACAGAACGUCAUUUCCCAGUCAACUCAACCAGCCUGGCCUCCAUUACUUUCAUCUUUUCAUUUCCAAAGCAUCAGGCUUUUCAGAUGAUAGCAUAAAAUGUGCAAAACUUAGUAAUUAUAGCAUGUAGAUGAUUUAAUAACUUAACUAAUAAAUGUGGGAGGGCCAAUGAAGUAAUUAAACCUUGUUAAAGGUUAGUGGACGGCAAAAGGAACAAAAUUAAUUAAUUAAAACAUAUUGGAUGGCAAUUUUGUAAUUAAAUCAAAAUUAAACAAAACAAAUUGAAAGAAUUAGACAUUUCUCCUUCAUCUUUCUUUAUCACCUGCUGAAAUCACCAUUGAAGACUUAGGAAGCUUCAGGCAACUCCUUGGCCUUGUACGAUCAAUACCCUAUUGACUUACGUGGAAAAGGGAAAAUUGCAGAAUAGUCCCUAAGCUUCUGCAACUAUUAUAAUUUAAUCCAAAGUAUGACUGAUUACAUGGAAUGUUAUACGGGGCUUGAAGAGGAGGAGAUGUUACAUAAAUUAUAUAUUUCCUGAGUAUAUCAAGGUUCAACAUUUGUUGCGAGCCAUCGUGUAUUAUUCUCGGAUUCUAGCGUGUUACCAAGGGUGGAUGUAAAGUCUUCGGGCUGGCACUUAGUGCCGAGGUGUGUUUUGGAGGGAUGUUGACCUGCGCGCUAGGCACUAAGUGCAGAGUAAUGUUAUUGGUUGGAUUAGCUCUUAUGAGUGCUUGUUGUGUUUCGGUUGGACUACUUGUGUACUUGUAUUUGUAAGUCGUUCAUCAGGUCGUAAUUAUUGGAUUAAUUACUUGUUUAAAGACUUCGAAUGACAUGUUUUGUACUUGAUAUCUUGAAGUAAUUUCGUUGUGGACAUGUAUGCUUUCCGAAAAUUAUUAUUUGAGAAUUGAAUUGAGCUAUGUAA